RNAcentral lists this ribosomal RNA (482 nucleotides) under uncultured bacterium. RNAcentral describes it as "partial 16S ribosomal RNA". It matches the Rfam family "Bacterial small subunit ribosomal RNA", at positions 30 to 507 of the family's 1533-position model. The record is from RNAcentral.
AUUGAACGCUGGCGGCAUGCUUUACACAUGCAAGUCGAACGGUAACAGGCCGCAAGGUGCUGACGAGUGGCGCACGGGUGUGUAAUGCAUCGGAACGUGCCCCGUCGUGGGGGAUAACUACUCGAAAGAGUAGCUAAUAUCGCAUACGAUCUAUGGAUGAAAGCGGGGGACCGUAAGGCCUCGCGCGAUUGGAGCGGCCGAUGUCAGAUUAGGUAGUUGGUGGGGUAAAGGCUCACCAAGCCAACGAUCUGUAGCUGGUCUGAGAGGACGACCAGCCACACUGGGACUGAGACACGGCCCAGACUCCUACGGGAGGCAGCAGUGGGGAAUUUUGGACAAUGGGCGCAAGCCUGAUCCAGCAAUGCCGCGUGCAGGAAGAAGGCCUUCGGGUUGUAAACUGCUUUUGUACGGAACGAAACGGCUCUGGUUAAUACCCGGGGCUAAUGACGGUACCGUAAGAAUAAGCACCGGCUAACUACGUG